AUUGUGGAAACUAAAGCAGAUGCUAAAUAUCCGAUUGUUAGCGGGGCUAGCAUCUGUGCUAAAGUUACCAGAGAUAAAUACUUGCGAGAAUGGAAAUUUUCGGAAGAUUUACCUAAAGAGGAUAGAAAUUUUGGUCCAGGUUACCCGAGCGCGUCAACCACCAUUGCGUGGCUCCGAGCGAAUGUUGAUGAGGUUUUUGGCUUUCCCACUAUCGUGAGGUUCAGCUGGGACACUGCGAAGAAGAUUAUUGAGAGCUGCUGCAAGCGAGUAAAGUGGGAUACCGAAGAGGAGGAGAACAGAUCCCAUAAAAGAGCAAAAGUGGAAACUACUAAGCGGAAACGACCGGCUUUUUUUCGGGAAAGGCAACUGUCGAGCUUGCAUGAACUCGAAUUUUAGCUUAAUUUAACUGUACGAAACACCACCUUCUCUAUCAGCCUUAUA
Molecule: long non-coding RNA, 441 nt
Organism: Zophobas morio
Lineage: Eukaryota; Metazoa; Arthropoda; Insecta; Coleoptera; Tenebrionidae
Exons: 4
Source: RefSeq, a predicted model, not a curated record